GGGCGUUUAGCUCAGUUGGUUAGAGCAUCUGCCUUACAAGCAGAGGGUCGUAGGUUCGAGUCCUUCAACGCCCA
RNAcentral lists this transfer RNA (74 nucleotides) under Candidatus Cloacimonadota bacterium. RNAcentral's name for it is "Candidatus Cloacimonetes bacterium (wastewater metagenome) tRNA-Val". It matches the Rfam family "tRNA". Rfam says of the family: Transfer RNA (tRNA) molecules are approximately 80 nucleotides in length. Lineage: Bacteria; Pseudomonadati; Candidatus Cloacimonadota. The record is from RNAcentral.